AUGAACGCUAGCUACAGGCUUAACACAUGCAAGUCGAGGGGCAGCAUCAUCAAAGCUUGCUUUGAUGGAUGGCGACCGGCGCACGGGUGAGUAACACGUAUCCAACCUGCCGACAACACUGGGAUAGCCUUUCGAAAGAAAGAUUAAUACCGGAUGGCAUAAUUAUUCCGCAUGGGAUAAUUAUUAAAGAACUUCGGUUGUCGAUGGGGAUGCGUUCCAUUAGGCAGUUGGCGAGGUAACGGCCCACCAAACCUACGAUGGAUAGGGGUUCUGAGAGGAAGGUCCCCCACAUUGGAACUGAGACACGGUCCAAACUCCUACGGGAGGCAGCAGUGAGGAAUAUUGGUCAAUGGACGAGAGUCUGAACCAGCCAAGUAGCGUGAAGGAUGACUGCCCUAUGGGUUGUAAACUUCUUUUAUACGGGAAUAAAGUGAGCCACGUGUGGUUUUUUGUAUGUACCGUAUGAAUAAGGAUCGGCUAACUCCGUGCCAGCAGCCGCGGUAAUACGGAGGAUCCGAGCGUUAUCCGGAUUUAUUGGGUUUAAAGGGAGCGUAGGCGGGUUGUUAAGUCAGUUGUGAAAGUUUGCGGCUCAACCGUAAAAUUGCAGUUGAUACUGGCGACCUUGAGUGCAACAGAGGUAGGCGGAAUUCGUGGUGUAGCGGUGAAAUGCUUAGAUAUCACGAAUAACUCCGAUUGCGAAGGCAGCUUACUUGGAUUUGUAACUGACGCUGAUGCUCGAAAGUGUGGGUAUCAAACCAGGUUUAGAUUCCCUGGUAGUCCAACACAGUAAACGAUGAAUACUCGCGGUUGGCGAUAUACCGGUCAGCGGCCCAGCGAUAACAUUAAGUAUUCCACCUGGGGAGUACGCCGGCAACCGGUGAAAUUCAAAGGAAUUGACGGGGGCCCGCACAAGCGGAGGAACAUGUGGUUUAAUUCGAUGAUACGCGAGGAACCUUACCCGGGCUUAAAUUGCAACUGACGGAAUCGGAAACGGUUCUUUCUUCGGACAGUUGUGAAGGUGCUGCAUGGUUGUCGUCAGCUCGUGCCGUGAGGUGUCGGCUUAAGUGCCAUAACGAGCGCAACCCUUACGGGUAGUUACCAUCAGGUUAUGCUGGGGACUCUACCCGGACUGCCGUCGUAAGAUGUGAGGAAGGUGGGGAUGACGUCAAAUCAGCACGGCCCUUACGUCCGGGGCUACACACGUGUUACAAUGGGGGGUACAGAAGGCAGCUACACGGCGACGUGGUGCUAAUCCCGAAAGCCUCUCUCAGUUCGGAUUGGAGUCUGCAACCCGACUCCAUGAAGCUGGAUUCGUUAGUAAUCGCGCAUCAGCCACGGCGCGGUGAAUACGUUCCCGGGCCUUGUACACACCGCCCGUCAAGCCAUGAAAGCCGGGGGUACCUGAAGUACGUAACCGCGAGGAGCGUCCUAGGGUAAAACUA
RNAcentral lists this ribosomal RNA (1442 nucleotides) under uncultured organism. RNAcentral describes it as "SSU rRNA". It matches the Rfam family "Bacterial small subunit ribosomal RNA". The record is from RNAcentral.